This 1063-nucleotide long non-coding RNA is filed under the name Ananas comosus (pineapple). RNAcentral's name for it is "long non-coding RNA (ACOM_LNC020034)". Lineage: Eukaryota; Viridiplantae; Streptophyta; Magnoliopsida; Poales; Bromeliaceae. The record is from RNAcentral.
AUACGGUUCCUAAUUGCAUGCAACCAGACAACUAAUUUAUUUAUAGUUGAAAUGCUUUUCACUUUAUCCAACCAAAUAAGAAUAUAUAUUCACUACAAUAAAAACGGUCUAUAGCGACACUUUUAAAUAUCGGCAUAGGUCAAAAAAAAGUGUUGCUGGCUAAAUUACCGACACUGUUAAAAAGUGUUGCUAUAUGUGGAGUCGCAAGGUAUAUAGCGACAGUUAAGGAGUGUCGCUAUAACCUAAAAAAGUGCUGCUAAUUUAGCAACACCUAUUUAAGCAUCUAGCAACCGUCGGAACUCUACCUCGUUGGCUGCGGUGGCGGAGGAGAACGAGAGGGAAGGGCCUUUCGUCUAGGAUUUCAGUAGAUUGAGUGAGGGGAGAAUGGGAGAUGGCAAUCGAUUUUUCUUUUUUUUUCCUUUUUGUUUAGAAUCGGACCAAAUGGGCUGGGUUGGGUGGGUUGAGUAUAAUAACAUUUUAUUUUUUAUUGGAUUCGGCUUUAUAUUUAGAGAUUAGUAGAUGUUUUUUAAAAUUUUGACAUAAAUGAGACACUUAAACAAAAGUGUCCCUAACAUGCGUCCCUAUAACCUAAUUUUAUUGUAGUGAUUAUAGUUAUAACUGCUAAAUUUUUAACUACUAUGUUGUCUUUAUAACUACAUCAACUAUAUGUAAAUAAUAAGAAUACAAGCUUCUUUGGCAUUUGCCUUUGUUGUUGGGUAUAAUUUAUUUGAUAAACAGUGUAUGAUUAUUGGCACAGGGAGAUCAUCUAUCUUAAAAUAUCCCUGAAAUAAUUAGUAAAUCUAUAUUUUUUGUAGAGCCAAAUUCUCGAAGAAUAUUUAGACUUUUGCGUUUUUCCAUAGGACCGCGAAAAGAUAUAUCGUAACAGACUCAUUGCGAUAUGCAGAACGCAAUAAUUACAUACGGAAACAAACAUGAUAUUUUUCUAUCGUACUUUUUUGUGGCAGAUAACGCAAUCUUCCCACAACCCCAAACAAAGCCUAAGCCUUAGCUGCAAUCAAUUUUUGCCUAAAAAAAAUAAAAAUAAAAAUAAAUAAAUAAACAA